RNAcentral lists this ribosomal RNA (253 nucleotides) under uncultured bacterium. RNAcentral describes it as "partial 16S ribosomal RNA". It matches the Rfam family "Bacterial small subunit ribosomal RNA", at positions 524 to 776 of the family's 1533-position model. The record is from RNAcentral.
UACGGAGGGUGCAAGCGUUGUUCGGAUUCACUGGGUAUAAAGGGUGCGCAGGCGGCCCGAUAAGUCAGAGGUGAAAUAUGACGGCUUAACCGUCAAACUGCCCCUGAAACUGUUGGGCUUGAGUCCGGGAGAGGAAGGUGGAAUUCCAGGUGUAGCGGUGAAAUGCGUAAAUAUCUGGAGGAACACCGGUGGCGAAGGCGGCCUUCUGGCCCGGAACUGACGCUCAGGCACGAAAGCUAGGGGAGCGAACGGG